CGGAGAAGUCCACGUGGAACAGGCCGAACCGGGCGCCGUAGCCGUCGGUCCACUCAAAGUUGUCCAGGAGGGACCAGGCGAAGUAACCGCGGACGUCGACCCCGUCCUCUUCAAUCGCUGCAGAGAUACACGGACAAAGAACUCAAUUAAGGUCAGCCAAGCCGCUACUGAGUCCUCUCCCUAACUGUCCGUCACCUUUGGCCACCUCCCCGACCGUCUCCCGGUAGAAGGCGGCGCGCUCGCCGUCCUCCAUCAGCACGGGGCCCGUCUGGGCGAAGCCGUUCUCGGUGAUGUAGACGGCGGGGUGGUUAAAGGUUGCCUGUAAAGUCAGCCGCGGCCACGUCAGCAAACGAUCAAUCAAGCGCCCUUUCGGCGCACAAAAACAAAAGACAAAAAGCCCCCCCCCCCCCCCCUCUCUCUCUCAGAGCGGGCGCCGUUUAAGCGCCGUGUUUCCACGGCGCCCGGGCUCAAACUAAUGGCGUGUGACAAGUCACAACACCAGGAAAUUGCUCGUUGGCAAAGCGUUUUCACUCGAAUAACUGCCUCUGUGACGGCGCUAAUGAAGCAGCGAUGUGUUUGUGUGGGGGGGGGGCCCCCCCCCCCCCCGC
Molecule: long non-coding RNA, 608 nt
Organism: Gadus morhua (Atlantic cod)
Lineage: Eukaryota; Metazoa; Chordata; Actinopteri; Gadiformes; Gadidae
Exons: 2
Source: RefSeq, a predicted model, not a curated record